RNAcentral lists this long non-coding RNA (6350 nucleotides) under Heterocephalus glaber (naked mole-rat). RNAcentral's name for it is "lncRNA (ENSHGLG00000048921.1)". The record is from RNAcentral. Lineage: Eukaryota; Metazoa; Chordata; Mammalia; Rodentia; Bathyergidae.
GGUACCGUAUAUGCAUGUGUGGAAAUGUCGCCAUGGAACCCAAUCACUUCUACAGUUAAUUCGUGCUGGUAAUCACUUUUUAAAAAUAAAAAGACCCGAGACCUGUGGUGCAUGUCAGUGGGUUCAGGAUGAGAGGCCACACAGCAUACUGAGCAGAUCUCUGGCCUGGGACAAGAAGCUGUUCAAGGGACUGUCAGCUCCAACCGGGUAACCGGUCACCAGACAGCCAGUAGCCUACCACAGUGACAGAAAGAGUGAGAAGGAGAAGGGAGAGCCCCAGAGCAUUAGUCCCUCCCAAGAGCCCUAAAACCAGCAAACAGAUAUCCCGGGCUCUGUUCCCAGUCCCAAGGUAAGCAAAGAGGGCCUGCGUCACAUCCCAUGGGUCACAAAACUGAGUCCAGUCUCCUCAAGAUUUGCCACUUCCUCCUUUUUCCUAUGGUUUUCACGGUGCUAAUUAUUGGACUGUGUCUCUCCACGGGACUCCUCGGCAUCAGGAUUCCAGCAUUUGGCGCUGUGUGGUUUCAGCUCCUGUCGUGGCAUUACUCUCCUACCCACUGAUGGCUCCUAGCAAGGCUCCGGAGUGGAGGAAAAUGAACUUUGGAUUUAAGGCACUUGUCCCCAUUCACCAGCCUGAAGUCCCCUGCCUCAUCGGUAAAGGAGAGCGGCUCCUGGGAGGAUUAUGAAAACCCACUUGCAAAGCUCCCAGCCAGGGCCUGGCCUGCAGUAGGGGCCCCACAAAGAUCAGCCGUUAUUCUAGGGUGACAGAUCUCUACCGCACCCGGAAUGGCACCAGGUACGCAACAGGUCACAGGCAGUGCACAGGGCUACGUGGGCUGAAUCUAUCUCUGGAGAGUGUUGUGGAGGCUUGUGGUUGGUUCCAUUUCUCUGUGGGUUGUCUCAGGGCUGCAGGAGCCCAAAGCAGGCCCCUGGGUCCUGAAGGACCUGACUGGAGAGGGGAGAGUAGGUCAGAUUCACCCGUGAGCAGAGAACUUAAAGCUGGGCCCUCUUCAGAUGCCAGCAAAGGAAUGGACAAAACUUUUCAGAAACUUUCAACCUUUUCCCUGCAGACCUUGCUACAGCAAGAGCAGCUGCUAGGGACUCUGAAGUCCCUUGGGGGCGGUGAGCCCUGCAGCCGUGAUGGAGGUGCUAGCAGGAAGACAGGCCUGGAGGUGUAACGCAGUGGUAGAGCGCUUCACUAGCAUGUGCAAGGGUCUGGCUUCAAUUUCCCCAUACCCUUUCCUGAAAGGGGGGAAAUGAGUGUCCCAACAAUACAAGAUGUGAUAAAAAAUAUAUGUAUAGUCUGUAUUUAAGGUAAAAAACAAUUCAUUACACAUUGCCAUUAAUCCCCUCAAAGAUACUCCCUUUCUCUUUGAACACUCACCCUGUACUUUUUGCCACUCUGAAGCAGCUCUGGAGUCCUCUGUUGUGUCUUUAGUUGCCAGUCAUGGCUGCCUCGAUGUCCACAAUCGAUUAAAAACAUGUAUACGCGCCGGGGAUUUAGCUCAGUGGUGCUGUCACCUGCCUCACAAGCGCAAGGCCCUGAGUUCGGUCCCUGGUACCAAAACAACAACAAAACUAACAAUCAAAAAAACAUUUACCUUUCAUGGUUAUUUUGACAAAUGACAAGAGCCAGAAGUAGCUUGGUGCCAGAUCCAGUGAAUAAGGUAGAUGAGGACACAGGAUAAUGUUCUUACAAGCUUUUCUGCUGCCUUUCUGCUGGAUGCUGCUCAGCAGCAACAUUCACCAUUUUUUUUUUGGUAUCAGGAAUCGAACUCAGGACCUUGCACUUGCGAGGUGGGUGACAGAACCACUGAGCUAAAUCCCCAGCUCCCUUCUGUAUUUUUGAUGAUGCCUCCUAAAGACAUGAAAGAGGACUUCUAGAACUGCUUCAGAAAGUGGCAAGAACACUGGGAUAAGUGGGUUUUGAAAUAAGGGGAAUAUUUUGAAGGGGAUUCAGGGCAAUGUGUCUUUUACUGUAACACAUUUUAAAAAUUGAAACACUGCAUUUUCUGACUGCCCCUUGUAUGUUGUCCUUGCGAUACUUCUGGCUUCCCUUGGCUUCAGGAUCAGGUUCUGCCUUUCUAGACCAGAUAUGCUCCCUGUCAUCCCGUGGCCAACCUACUCUGCAGAUGAGGAACGGAGGCUUGGCAUGGUUAUGUAACUUGCUCAAGGUCACACAGCUGGAAGAUAGCAGAGGUUCUGCCAGGUGGAAACCAAGCCCGCCUGCGCCAGGAGCCAAAGCAAGGACUCAACUGGUGACCCAAGUGUUCCAAGUCUUCAUUUCUCCAUCAGUAAAAAUGGAGAUAAAAGAAUAUCUGCCUGAUGGUCCCCUGGGAAGUUGAGUCAUCUCAUCACUUCACAUCAUGCACACGUGGCCAGGAAACCUUCAGGAAUGUGAACCUGCCCUCCCACCACCUCCUCCCUGUCCCUCCAGUGCUGGAUCCAUGACCCAGGGACCUCUGUCAAUUUCCUCCACCAGUGUGUGCCCAGCACCCGCUUGGACCACUGAAUAAACUGAACGGAUGUCCCUCAUUCAUAGCAGGUGCUAAGGAAAUGUAUCACAUGAAUGUUGUUCAGAGGAAAGCCACAGGCCAAAUCACACCCUCUCUGUUUCUGAAACUCCUUCCGGGGGACCAACAUGGAAUCAUGAUCACAGAUUCGGAAGCAGUUAGACCUGGCUUGUGUUCUAGCUCUGCUCACUCACUAGCACUGUGUCCUUCACUUUCGGGCCUCCCUUCCCUCCUCUGUGAAAUGGACAUCAGAGUAGCAACUCACCUACACUGGUUAUUUCAGGGUUCAAUGAGAUAAUGUAAGCCAAGCACUUAACACAGUACUCUGCAGGUAAAAACCCUGUGGUGGAAUGUGUCCGUUAAAUCCCAGCCUCAAGACCCCAGAAGAUGUUUCAAAAAGACUUUGCUUUUCUUUCAGAGAGACAAGGGGGCUGGCACUGAUGCCCCUCCUGCCUCAUUUCUCUUGCUCUCUGCUUCUCAGCCGAAUCCCUCUCCAUUCUUAGGUCUAGUGGUCUCUUCUUGUUGAAGAGCCAGUGUCCCCAUCCCUGUGGACUCCUGUAGAGGACACAGCCCCUCUCCACAUCACUUUGCCAUGCCAGGAGUGAGGGGGUGCAGAGGGUCCCCCAGCUACUGAAUCCCCUUUGUGUCACCUGAGGUGGAGUCUUGCUCACUGGUCUGUCCUUCAAGGUGAGUCCAGGAUGCCAGGGAGGCACCAGCCUGGCUUGGAAUUCAAGCCUCUGCCACAUCCAAGGCUGCAUAAUCUCAGGCAAGCCCACUGCUCUUUCUCUACCUCCGAUUCCUAAGCAGUGAAAUGGUAACCAUUGUUAGCACCCACAGCUGACCUGGAAACACUAGCCAGCUAUGCCACUGACCUAUUCAGUGGAUGCCAGCCAGUGCCCCAGCGUCCGGCAGAGGCGUCAUGGCGCCUGGCCCGUUGUACAUAUCGCAAAACAAUGGCUACUGCCAUUUCUGUUUCAACGCACACCCUGUUCCUUGCAAUUCCUAGCCCAGCCCUGAUACAGGGACGUUCAGAGGUGAGAGCUUUAAACAGACCUGGCUUUUGUUCUCCCCCAAGUGAAUGAAGGCUCACCUCCCUUUCUUGCUUCCCUUUGCUCACUAGAAGGUCACCGAAGCGCUGGAGAAGAGCCAGAAACUUUACCCCUGGGUUACCUGGGGUGGGAGCUGUUUUCCCCAUGAACAUUCUUCACAGAUAUUCAACACAGCCACGUAAGAGCCAAAUGCCUGAAGGCCCCAUCACCGAGCAGACCUGCAGUGGGGCCACGCCAGCGUGUAGCCUGCACAGCACACACAGGACCUCGUUGGAGAUGCUCACUGUGCUGGCAGAGGACAGGCUCAGUCCCUCUCCUGUGCCCACUGCUUGGACCUCAUCAUUACAAAGUGCUCCCGGGGCAUCCAGCAGUGAAGCGGCCUCACAGCAGCAAGGGCUUCAGCUCAGCCACCCCAGUCCUGCUUCCUGCACCCCAAUAUACGCAAAGCCAGAAAUGUCAAGGAUGCCAGGCCCAGCUGCCCAGAGAAGGGAGGACAUCUCUUCCCCCAGGGAGAACCUGCUGCAGUCCGAAUGUGCUAAGGCCGGACAGCUGGUCACCCAGGGAGGCCUGGAUGCCCUGCUUGAGCUGUCACAGCGUGCUGGGCCCCCAGUGUGACAACUGAAAGCAGCCAUCUCUUUCCCAUGGCCAUGGCAUGGUGGAACCAGGGUGCCAGCAGCACCUGGCUACUCAACUGGGAUGUCCUCUCCUUCCUCCCCUGUCAUCACUGCAAGAUGCUCCUGCAGGAGAGAGCACAAAGCCUGCCAGGGAGGGAGGUGACUGCAUAAAAGCACUGGCUCCAGAGAUGGCACCUGAGUGAUUGGCCCCACAAACACAAACCCAGAUGGGAUUUGCUCUAGUGCUGUACCAGUGAGUGUGUGUGUUUGCUUAUUCAGUUGAUAGCAACGAAUUUUUUGACUAGAACACAGGGGAAUCUAUGAGGCGUGGGUGCCUGUCUCCUGCUGUGUCAGGACCACGCCUAGCAGAGAGCAGCAUGGUUGUGAUCAUAAAGCUGCCGUUUCUCCUCUGUCAGCUCUGCUCCUUCUCUAGCAGGUGUUUUAUACGCAUUCUCUGCCUUCAAUUUAUGCCCUGUUGAAACCCUCUGAGGGAGGGAUUAUAACAACACUAACUUGGUAACACUUCUCAGACUCUUUCGGUGUGGCAGGCACUGGGCUCCACGUCUGAUAACAUCUCCCCCGCCCCUCCCAGAACCCCUGUUGAAGCAGUGCUGCUUUUCUAUCUCACAGAGGGAUAAGGCGAGACCUAGGGCUCCAGCCCAGGUCUGCUGUCGCCACACCUGGGAGCAUCCCCACUGCCCGCCUGUCCUGUGCCAUCCUGCUUUGUCUCAUGGUCUCCCGACUGAGCACGUGAGGCCUGGGGGCUGAGGACCCAGUCGAGCAGAUGGAAAUUCUGGGGCUGGCUUCCCACACCCACACCCCAUCUCUGCCAGUCAGUGCGGAUUCGUGGGGUGCUCGCGUGAGCACCGAGAGAACCAUCAAGACGGCCUGUGGUUGUGCAUCAGUGGGGUCUGUAGUUACAACCCGUGAGCCCCUGGCAGUGGCUCAUCAUGGAUUAACAUCCCGGGCUGACCAGAGGCAGUUAGUGUUGUACAUUCUGCGGUUUUGACCAGUGUUUAAGGACACAUAUCCGUUACGGUUUCGUACAGAAUGGGGCACUGACUAAAAAUACUGUGCUCUACCUGUUCAUCCCUCCCUCCCUCCUGACCUCUAGCAACCACCAAUCUUUUCACCAUCUGCAUAGUUUCAUCUUUCCUCAUAGAGUAAUAAACAAAUCAGGGCUGAUCAAAAAUAUGAACACUUACAUUUAAAAAAAAAUUUUUUUUGGUACUGAGGAUCGAACUCAGGACCUUGCACUUUCAAUUCAGAUGGCAGCAUCAUUGAGCUAAAUCCCCAGCCCCACUUAAAAAAAUUAUUACAGUAAAUGACAUAUUGCCAUUCAUUAAUCACCAUCAAAAUAUUUCCACUCACUUUGAAUACACUUAUCCCAUCAUUCUUGCCAUUUUCUGAAGCACUUCUGGAAGUUCUCUUUCAUGUCUUUAUGAGGGAUAAUCAAAAAUGCAGUGAAUGCUGCUGCCAAGUGUCAUCUAGCAGAAAAGCAGGCUCAUGAAAACAAUACAGUGUGUCCUCAGACACCUUAUUCAUCAGAUCUAGCAUUGUGUGAAAUCCAGCUCUUCCUCAAAGUCAAAAUGACUAUGAAAGUAAAUUUCUUGGUUUUUUUCCGGUACUAGGGAUCGAACUCAGGACCUUGUGCUUGCAGGUCAGCCGCAGCUCUACUGAGCCAAAUUCCCAGUCCCAAAAGUAAAUGUUCUUAAUUGAUUCAGGACAUUGUGGCAGGAGUGAUAGUACAACUAAAGACAUUCACAAAAGAGGACUUCCAAAACAGUGGGGUAACUGUGUUCAAACAGAGGGUUAUCUUGAGGAUUAAGGGCAACAUAUCUUUUACUGUAAUACAUUUUUUAAAAAUUUAAGCAUACACUGUAUUUUUCAACAACACCCCAAGUAUAUGUAGUCUUCUUUCACCAUCUGGCAGUAAGUGGGUAAGGUCUUUUUGUGGACUGAUAGCUCAUUUCUUUCUAUUGUAGAAUGAGAGUCUACUGUCUGGAUGUACCGCAGUUUAUCCAUUUGCCUACUGAACAACAUCUUAGUUGCUUCCCAGUUUUGGCAAUUAUGAAUAAAGCCACUAUAAACAUUGGUGUGCAGGCUUUAGUAUGGGGGUUAAGAUUUCAACUUAUUUGGAUAAAUACCUAGGCACGCGGUUGCUGGAUGGCGCGGGG